Molecule: ribosomal RNA, 379 nt
Filed under: uncultured bacterium
Lineage: Bacteria
Description: bacterial SSU rRNA
Rfam family: Bacterial small subunit ribosomal RNA
Source: RNAcentral
UAAUACGUAGGGUGCAAGCGUUGUCCGGAUUUAUUGGGCGUAAAGAGCUCGUAGGCGGUUUGGCAAGUCGGGUGUGAAACCUCCAGGCUCAACCUGGAGACGCCACCCGAGACUGCUAUGACUUGAGUCUGGUAGGGGAUCACGGAAUUCCUGGUGUAGCGGUGAAAUGCAUAGAUAUCAGGAGGAACACCGGUGGCGAAGGCGGUGAUCUGGGCCAGUACUGACGCUGAGGAGCGAAAGCGUGGGGAGCGAACAGGAUUAGAUACCCUGGUAGUCCACGCCGUAAACGUUGGGCACUAGGUGUGGGGCUCUAUCGACGGGUUCCGUGCCGUAGCUAACGCAUUAAGUGCCCCGCCUGGGGAGUACGGCCGCAAGGCUA